CCUACGGGGGGCAGCAGUGAGGAAUAUUGGUCAAUGGACGAGAGUCUGAACCAGCCAAGUAGCGUGAAGGAUGACUGCCCUAUGGGUUGUAAACCUCUUUUAUCAAGGAAUAAAACGAGGCACGCGUGCCUUUUUGCAUGUACCUUAUGAAUAAGGAUCGGCUAACUCCGUGCCAGCAGCCGCGGUAAUACGGAGGAUCCGAGCGUUAUCCGGAUUUAUUGGGUUUAAAGGGUGCGUAGAUGGGUUGUUAAGUCAGUUGUGAAAGUUUGCGGCUCAACCCUAAAAUUGCAGUUGAUACUGGCUGUCUUGAGUACGGUUGAGGUAGGCGGAAUGCGUGGUGUAGCGGUGAAAUGCUUAGAUAUCACGAAGAACCCCGAUUGCGAAGGCAGCUUACUAGACUGUGACUGACAUUGAUGCUCGAAAGUGUGGGUAUCGAACAGGAUUAGAUACCCGAGUAGUC
This 460-nucleotide ribosomal RNA is filed under the name uncultured bacterium. RNAcentral describes it as "partial 16S ribosomal RNA". It matches the Rfam family "Bacterial small subunit ribosomal RNA", at positions 338 to 795 of the family's 1533-position model. The record is from RNAcentral.